GACGAACGCUGGCGGCGUGCUUAACACAUGCAAGUCGAACGAUGAAGCCGGAGCUUGCUCCGGUGGAUUAGUGGCGAACGGGUGAGUAACACGUGAGCAAUCUGCCCUUGACUCUGGGAUAACUGCGGGAAACUGUAGCUAAUACCGGAUACGACAAUUUGGGGCAUCCCAGGGUGUGGAAAGAAUUUCGGUCAAGGAUGAGCUCGGGGCCUCUCAGCUAGUUGGUGAGGUAAUGGCUCACCAAGGCGACGACGGGUAGCCGGCCUGAGAUGGUGACCGGCCACAAUGUGACUGAGACACGGCCCAGACUCCUACGGGAGGCAGCAGUGGGGAAUAAUGCACGAUGGGCGCAAGCCUGAUGCAGCAACGCCGCGUGAGGGAUGAAGGCUUUCUGGUUGUAAACCUCUUUUAGCAGGGAAGAAGCGAAAGUGACGGUACCUGCAGAAAAAGCACCGGCUAACUACGUGCCAGCCGCCGCUGUAA
RNAcentral lists this ribosomal RNA (483 nucleotides) under uncultured bacterium. RNAcentral's name for it is "partial 16S ribosomal RNA". It matches the Rfam family "Bacterial small subunit ribosomal RNA", at positions 28 to 523 of the family's 1533-position model. The record is from RNAcentral.